AACGAACGCUGGCGGCAUGCCUAAUAUAUGCAAGUCGAACGAUCACUUCGGUGGUAGUGGCGCACGGGUGCGUAACGAUUGGGAAUCUGCCCUUCGGUUCGGAAUAACGUCGGGAAACUGACGCUAAUACCGGAUGAUGACGUAAGUCCAAAAUCUUAUCGCCCAGGGAUGAGCCGGCGUAGGAUUAGCUAGUUGGAGGAGUAAAGGCCUACCAGGACGACGAUCCUUAGCUGGUCAGGGAGGAUGAUCAGACACACUGGGACUGAGACACGGCCCAGACUCCUACGGGAGGCAGCAGUAGGGAAUAUUGGACAAUGGGGGCAACCCUGAUCCAGCAAUGCCGCGUGAGUGAUGAAGACCUUAGGGUUGUAAAGCUCUUUUACCCGGCAUGAUAAUGACAGUACCGGGAGAAUAAGCCCCGGCUAACUCCGUGCCAGCCGCCGCCGUAA
This 449-nucleotide ribosomal RNA is filed under the name uncultured bacterium. RNAcentral's name for it is "partial 16S ribosomal RNA". It matches the Rfam family "Bacterial small subunit ribosomal RNA", at positions 29 to 523 of the family's 1533-position model. The record is from RNAcentral.